AGUUUCACAAAGCUCAGACUUGCUGGCAACCCUCCUGCCUAAGCCUCCUGACAGCUGAGAUCACAGAUGUUGGCAGCAUGCUUUUUAUGUUGUUUUUGAUGCUAGGAAAGAACUCUUCAACUGACCUGUAUCCCUCUGACUUUUCUUUUUUGUUCUUUUAUUGUUUUAGCAGAAGGCCGAGGAGGGCCUUGCUUAUUUAAAAUAAAACUAUGCAUACGUUUUGAUGGUAUGUAUAGGUGCACCACUUCUAUGCUUGGUACCCUUGGAGGCCAGAAGAGGCUAUCAGAUUCCCUGGGACUGUAGUUACAGAGGGUUAUAAGUUGCCAAGUGGAUAAUGAGAAUCAAAUUAGGGUCCUCUAAAAUCUUCUGAGUCCCCUUAAAUUUUUUUGUGUAUAUUGUGUGUGCAUGUGCUGCAGAGCCCAGAAGAGGGCGUCGGGUCCCCUGGAGCUGGAGUUACAAGUAGAGCAACCCAAUGUGGGUGGUCUUCAGAGGGAGGAAGAAGAGCGUUUAUUCCCUGAGCCAUCUCUUUGGCCUCCUGGCUUCUGCUUUAUACAAAAAGCUCUUCAGGAUGUAAUUCUGUGCUAGUAAGGUUUGUUCUCUCUUUUUGCGAAGAUCCUGCAAACAUUUCUCUAUGUGUUCCAUGUAUCUAGCCCAAGUUUGUGAGCAAUACACUAGGAAGACGUGGAGCAACUAAGACCCGGAGGUGCGGAGGGAGGGGGAGCAACGGAAAGAGAAAGCUCGCCUGCUCGUGCUAAAUCGUGAGGGAGCACCAGCACUGUGUGGACCCGCACCUACUGAGAGCAGCACAAUGGUCCAUUGCCCGAAUGAGAGAUCGCUCUAAGGCUCAGCUUUACGAGCAUACGUGCUCACGCGCUUGCGCAGCAGCAGCAGCAGCAUCACAACCCCAAGCCUGAUUGGCUGACUCGAGUCCGGCAGCGAGAUCACGCAUGCGCGCUUUCUCGCGCUCGCGAGCACGGUCUUGUGGGUGCUGUUCUUGGACCUUCAUUCUUUCUGUAGAACCAUAAUUUUUAUCCCAGUUCACGAUGUUUCCGGAACUCAACAACCUUCUCAGCACCACCCCAGACAAGACCGAGCAGGGGACGCUGACUCUCCUCUGUGACGCUAAGACAGAUGGCAGCUUCCUUGUGCACCACUUCCUUUCCUUCUACCUGAAAGCUAAUUGUAAAGUCUGCUUUGUGGCACUUGUCCAGUCCUUCAGCCAUUACAAUAUUGUGGGACAGAAACUGGGUGUCAGCUUGACAGCGGCUCGGGACAGAGGGCAGCUUGUGUUCCUGGAGGGUCUCAAGUCCUCUGUGGAGGUCCUCUUCCACUCUCAGGACGAGCCUCACCCCCUGCAGUUUCUCAGGGAGGCUGGUACAGGAAACCUGCAGUCACUGUAUACGUUUAUUCAGGACACCCUGAAGCCUGCGGACAGUGAGGAGUCCCCAUGGAAGUACCCAGUGCUGUUGGUGGACAACCUCAGUGUGCUGCUGAGCCUGGGCGUGGGGGCAGUCGCUGUGCUGGACUUCAUGCAGUACUGCAGAGCCACGGUGUGCUGCGAACUGAAGGUACUGCCGAGACUGCUGUGGUCCCUGAGAACCCAGACUGUGCUCUGCUUUCUCUGUCUGCCUGCUCUGAGUUCCGCUGCUUUCCUCAGGGAAACGUGGUAGCCCUUGUGCAUGACACUGAGGGCGCUACGGAUGAGGGGAAUGACACCCUGCUGAACGGCCUCAGCCAUCAAAGCCACCUGAUCCUGCGGGCUGAGGGCCUGGCCACUGGAUUCUGCAAGGACGUGCAUGGGCAGCUGAGCAUCCUCUGGCGGAGGCCGUCGCGGUCCACAGCCCAGCGGGCUCAAAGUCUCACUUACCAAUACAAGAUACAGGACAAGAAUGUGUCCUUUUUUGCCAAAGGAAUGUCUCCUGCUGUUCUGUGACCUGAUUUGGGACAACUGAAGUGACUUUGGACAGUUAAGAAGCACCCUGGCUGAACACUCGUCAGGCUUGACUGCAGCUCCGCUGUGACCAGGGAGGAUGGCGCUGUGAGGGUGUGCCCGCUUUGUCUCCAGGGCUCUGCUUAGGAAACACAGUGAGGAACUGCACGUGGCUUAUGCUGAGAGAGGCUGCAAGGUGAACCCCAGCAGAGCCAACCUUUGGGGCAUCCCACAUGACUCCAGCCUCACCUGCCUGUUUUUGGAGGUUGUGCCAUUAAGAGCCACUGUAGAUAGAAGGAGGCCAUCAGGAGGUUGUCUUGAAUGGCAGCCAUCCUGGCUGACAGCUAGGACAAUGAGGCAGAAUAAAGAAGGUUCCCACACAGGCUUCCUGGAGGUUGUCUUUUUUAUAUUUCACUUCCCUUUUACAUGGGGACUUUUCCUUGAAGUCCAGUAAGGAGAUGGGCUUGGAAAUGGAGGUGAGGACACUCGGGGCUCAGAGCAGGCUGAGGACAAUUGAGCUGGAACUGGACUCCAAAGCCGUACCUGCCAGCCUGCACUCAUGGAGACCAGGGUCAGGUGUCCCCACCCUCACCCACUGAAGGUGUAAACCUGCUUCUGUCUCUGCAGCUUGGCCUGUAUGCUGGAGUCCUAGCCAUCAAAAGCAUGGCACUGGGACCUUGAAUGAGGGAGAGGGGAGUAUGACUUUGAGAAGAGUAAGAAAGUGUCUUUGCUGCCUGGUUAGAAGGAUCAUGGUGAGUUACUGUAAUGCAUCUUUGAAGACAGUGGGGACAAGAGGAAGGAGGUCUUGGAACCAGUCUUUUUGGUCUGUGUGUCUGUGUGUCUGUGUGUUUUGGAGGGCAAAUUGAGACUAGGUUUCUUCUAUGUAGCCCUUGCUGGCCUGGAACUUGCUAUGUAGACUAGGCUGGCCUGGAGCUCACAGAGAUUCCCCUGCCUCUGCCUCCAAAAUGCUGGGAUUAGAGGUUACAGUACCAUGUCUGAUAAGAGAAAGGAAUAUUUAUCCCAGCGUCCUGAGAUGAUCCUGAUCACACCUCGUUCCGUAGUAAAGGUCACCUCAGAGGGAAUGAAUACAAGGAGGGCUCUCUUAAAAUUUGUGCGUUGUUUUUACAUGUAAAUGAAUCCACUAAUAAAACUAAAAAUUUUA
Mus musculus (house mouse) is the source of this 3092-nucleotide RNA transcript. It is a transcript of the gene named elongator acetyltransferase complex subunit 6, with no coding region annotated. Lineage: Eukaryota; Metazoa; Chordata; Mammalia; Rodentia; Muridae. The transcript has 7 exons. The record is from RefSeq and is marked validated.